AGAGUUUGAUCAUGGCUCAGGACGAACGCUGGCGGCGUGCCUAACACAUGCAAGUCGAGCGGAGACAGUGAGUAGCUUGCUAUGAGCUGUUUUAGCGGCGGACGGGUGAGUAACGCGUGAGCAACCUUUCCCAGACAGGGGAAUAACACACCGAAAGGUGUACUAAUACCGCAUAAGACCACGGAAUCACAUGGUUCUGAGGUAAAAGAUUUUAUCGGGUUUGGGGUGGGCUCGCGUCCGACUAGGUAGUUGGUG
Molecule: ribosomal RNA, 255 nt
Filed under: uncultured bacterium
Lineage: Bacteria
Description: partial 16S ribosomal RNA
Rfam family: Bacterial small subunit ribosomal RNA
Source: RNAcentral